This 472-nucleotide ribosomal RNA is filed under the name uncultured anaerobic ammonium-oxidizing bacterium. Its description in RNAcentral is "bacterial SSU rRNA". It matches the Rfam family "Bacterial small subunit ribosomal RNA", at positions 364 to 832 of the family's 1533-position model. The record is from RNAcentral.
UUCGCAAUGCCCGAAAGGGUGAACGAGCGACGCCGCGUGCGGGAUGAAGGGCUUCGGCUUGUAAACCGCUUUUGUUUGGGAAGAAUGCCCGGAUCGUGAAUUCGGGAGGGACGGUACCAGACGAAUAAGCCCCGGCUAACUCCGUGCCAGCAGCCGCGGUAAGACGGAGGGGGCAAGCGUUGUUCGGAAUUAUUGGGCGUAAAGGGCGCGUAGGCGGAUUGGUAAGUCUGGCGUGAAAUCUCCACCACUCAACGGGGAGAGGUCGCUGGAGAUUGCCGAUCUGGAGUUUGGCAGAGGGUCAUGGAAUUCCAGGUGUAGCGGUGGAAUGCGUAGAUAUCAGAAGGAACGCCGGAGGCGAAAGCGACUCUCUGGCUCGCAACUGACGCUGAGGCGCGAAAGCUAGGGGAGCAAAUGGGAUUAGAUACCCCAGUAGUCCUAGCCGUAAACGAUGGGCACUAAGUAGAGGGGUUUU